GCCGACGUAGCUCAGUUGGUAGAGCAGCUCACUCGUAAUGAGCAGGUCAGCGGUUCGAGUCCGCUCGUCGGCUC
This 74-nucleotide transfer RNA is filed under the name Rubrobacter xylanophilus. RNAcentral's name for it is "tRNA-Thr". It matches the Rfam family "tRNA". From Rfam's summary of the family: Transfer RNA (tRNA) molecules are approximately 80 nucleotides in length. Their secondary structure includes four short double-helical elements and three loops (D, anti-codon, and T loops). The record is from RNAcentral. Lineage: Bacteria; Bacillati; Actinomycetota; Rubrobacteria; Rubrobacterales; Rubrobacteraceae.